This 73-nucleotide transfer RNA is filed under the name Streptomyces sp. RJA2910. RNAcentral's name for it is "tRNA-Lys". The record is from RNAcentral. Lineage: Bacteria; Bacillati; Actinomycetota; Actinomycetes; Kitasatosporales; Streptomycetaceae.
CGACGUGUAGCUCAGCAGCCAGAGCACCGGGCUUUUCACCCGGCGGGCGCAGGGGCGGAACCUGCCACGUCGG